RNAcentral lists this ribosomal RNA (498 nucleotides) under uncultured bacterium. RNAcentral's name for it is "bacterial SSU rRNA". It matches the Rfam family "Bacterial small subunit ribosomal RNA", at positions 392 to 881 of the family's 1533-position model. The record is from RNAcentral.
CAAUGCCGCGUGUGUGAAGAAGGCCUUCGGGUUGUAAAGCACUUUUAUCGGGAACGAAAAGCCAUCGGUCAAUACCCGGUGGUGCUGACGGUACCCGAGGAAUAAGCACCGGCUAACUUCGUGCCAGCAGCCGCGGUAAUACGAAGGGCGCAAGCGUUAAUCGGAAUUACUGGGCGUAAAGCGUGCGUAGACGGCUGUUUAAGUCUGCUGUGAAAGCCCUGGGCUCAACCUGGGAACUGCAGUGGAUACUGGAUAGCUAGAGUGCGGUAGAGGAUGGUGGAAUUCCCGGUGUAGCGGUGAAAUGCGUAGAGAUCGGGAGGAACAUCAGUGGCGAAGGCGGCCAUCUGGACCAGCACUGACGUUGAGGCACGAAAGCGUGGGGAGCAAACAGGAUUAGAUACCCUGGUAGUCCACGCCCUAAACGAUGCGAACUGGACGUUGGGCACAACUCGGUGCUCAGUGUCGAAGCUAACGCGUUAAGUUGACCGCCUGGGGAGU